This 779-nucleotide long non-coding RNA is filed under the name Cercocebus atys (sooty mangabey). RNAcentral describes it as "lncRNA (ENSCATG00000045648.1)". The record is from RNAcentral. Lineage: Eukaryota; Metazoa; Chordata; Mammalia; Primates; Cercopithecidae.
ACCCCGCGGGGCCCCGCCGCCCUCAGGCCCCCACCAGCCCGCCGAACCUGCCUCUUUUGCUCUCUUGAAUCCCGCCCUCCUCUCCUCGCCCAACUUCUCCCAAACCCGCCUUCCCAGCCUCGCCGCGAUGAACCUGGCACCUGACGCGGUAUUCACCAGCUCCUUUCUGGGCUCCAGCGUUACCAUUUUUACGGCUUCACAACCAGUCUGGAGCAAAGAAGGAACCCCGAGGAAUUUUCUUCUUUCCAGGAGGAUACUAAGAAGUAAUGAUGCCUCUCUUUUUAUGCUCAGAAAAAUCUCAGAUGAGGACAAUCACCUUUAUUUCUAUUUUCAGCAUGAGUUCUUGCUGUGAAAACGACUGACAGAAAUUAUAUCCAGGUACCUACUGCUCUGUACUUUUUCUUUCUCUUCCAGGUUCAGGAUGGCACAUUCCUAAUUCCCUCUUGACCACAAAAUGUGAGGAUCUAGCCUCAAAUCUGCAACACUUGUAUCUAAGAAACAAAUUGUUUUUAAAUUUCCAUUUAACAGAAAUACAGAUGCAGAGCCAUGUAAUCAUCAGUCUUUGAUCACUCCGCAAAUCACAGAACAAGGAACAAAUCCUAGAGGGGAUAACAGGGAAGUUUUUGAUCCUAUAGUUCAGCAACCUCAACAUGGAGCUGGAACUCUUUCCCACAUUAAUAGCAAGGCAAGCAAGUGACAGACUUUUGCUUUUUAGUCCAAUCUUUUUUAAUCAAUUAUGAAAGAUGACAAACAUACACCUCUCUUGGGAUACUUUAGAU